ACUUAGAGUUUGAUCAUGGCUCAGGACGAACGCUGGCGGCGCGCUUAACACAUGCAAGUCGAGCGAGAACCCACCUUCGGGUGGGGGAAAGCGGCGAACGGGUGAGUAACACGUGGGCAACCCACCCUUGGUAUCGGGAUAGCCCGGGGAAACCCGGAUUAAUACCGGAUGGCCCAGCAGCUCUUCGGGGCGGCUGGAAAAGGUAGCUUCGGCCUCCGACCAAGGACGGGCCCGCGGCGGAUUAGCUUGUUGGUGGGGUAACGGCCUACCAAGGCGACGAUCCGUAGCUGGUCUGAGAGGACGAUCAGCCACACUGGGACUGAGACACGGCCCAGACUCCUACGGGAGGCAGCAGUGGGGAAUCUUGCGCAAUGGGCGAAAGCCUGACGCAGCGACGCCGCGUGGGGGAAGAAGGCUUUCGGGUUGUAAACCCCUUUCAGGUGGGACGAAGCCACUCGGGUUAAUAGCCCAGAGGGUGACGGUACCGCCAGAAGAAGCCCCGGCUAACUACGCGCC
Molecule: ribosomal RNA, 516 nt
Filed under: uncultured bacterium
Lineage: Bacteria
Description: bacterial SSU rRNA
Rfam family: Bacterial small subunit ribosomal RNA
Source: RNAcentral